AUUGAACGCUGGCGGCAGGCUUAACACAUGCAAGUCGAGCGGAGAUGAGGUGCUUGCACCUUAUCUUAGCGGCGGACGGGUGAGUAAUGCUUAGGAAUCUGCCUAUUAGUGGGGGACAACAUUCCGAAAGGGAUGCUAAUACCGCAUACGUCCUACGGGAGAAAGCAGGGGAUCUUCGGACCUUGCGCUAAUAGAUGAGCCUAAGUCGGAUUAGCUAGUUGGUGGGGUAAAGGCCUACCAAGGCGACGAUCUGUAGCGGGUCUGAGAGGAUGAUCCGCCCCACUGGGACUGAGACACGGCCCAGACUCCUACGGGGGGCAGGAGUGGGGAAUAUUGGACAAUGGGGGGAACCCUGAUCCAGCCAUGCCGCGUGUGUGAAGAAGGCCUUAUGGUUGUAAAGCACUUUAAGCGAGGAGGAGGCUACUGAGACUAAUACUCUUGGAUAGUGGACGUUACUCGCAGAAUAAGCACCGGCUAACUCUGUGCCAGCCGCCGCCGUAA
This 501-nucleotide ribosomal RNA is filed under the name uncultured bacterium. Its description in RNAcentral is "partial 16S ribosomal RNA". It matches the Rfam family "Bacterial small subunit ribosomal RNA", at positions 30 to 523 of the family's 1533-position model. The record is from RNAcentral.